AACGCUGACUUCACCAGACUCUCUUUGGCUGCGUCUGACUCUGCAGGAGAAAAGCUAUAAAAAAAAAAAAAGGAAAGACGACCUUCAGUGAGUGCAGACCAAACAAAUCAAUCAUCAAUACCUUACUGUCCAAAAAUAACACAUGAUUGCUCCAAUUACAAGCAGUUAUCUACUCUUUCACCGCUCAAUCGUUGCCAUGGUUACCUGAUGCUGCCCUCAAGUACUUUGCUGGCAAGCGCACAAUAGCACAAUAGCUCAUCACCACUUAAAGGUCCAAACCAUCUUCAGUCAAAGUACCUGUCUGAGGACAACAGCAUUUUUACUCCCACUUACUAGGAACACUGGGAGUCAGUUCUUUCAAGUACCUUGUCAAAGCAAACCAGGUUCAGUUGACCACACAUGUUGAUCCUCUGGGGGCUGAUGCAGAAGAUGCCGACCCGCUUGAGACGCCUCUGCGCGUACACAAUCCCAGCAGUCAUUGCGGCUGGUAAGG
Cynoglossus semilaevis (tongue sole) is the source of this 493-nucleotide long non-coding RNA. RefSeq lists it as uncharacterized. NCBI's taxonomy places the organism in Eukaryota, Metazoa, Chordata, Actinopteri, Pleuronectiformes, Cynoglossidae. The record is from RefSeq and is a predicted model, not a curated record. The transcript has 3 exons.